RNAcentral lists this ribosomal RNA (539 nucleotides) under uncultured marine bacterium. RNAcentral's name for it is "bacterial SSU rRNA". It matches the Rfam family "Bacterial small subunit ribosomal RNA", at positions 384 to 916 of the family's 1533-position model. The record is from RNAcentral.
UGAUGCAGCAUGCCGCGUGAGUGAGGAAGGCCUUCGGGUUGUAAAGCUCUUUCAGAGGGGAAGAACGCCAUUUGGUCCAUUACGGAUUGUGUUGGACUUACCCUUCAAAGAAACCCCCGGUUACUCCCGGGCCACCGCCCGCGUAAUUACGAAGGGGGCAACCUUUAUUCGAAUUACUGGGCCUAAAGCCCCCCGCAGCCGGUUGGUUAAUUCGAAGGUAAAAUCCCGGGCUUCACCCCCGAAAUUGCGUCUGAACUUGUUGAUUUAAAUUUAUGUAAGGGAAAUGGAAAUUUCGGAGGAACGGUGAAAAGCCUUAAAAUUGCAAAGAAACCCCAUAGCCAAAGGGGCUUCCCGGACCGUACCCUGACCUUAAGGGCCAAAACCUGGGGAACCAACCAGAUUAAAUACCCCGGGAAUCCCCCCCCGAAAACAAUUCGUAUUACAUUUUGAACUCUUUGACCUCUUCUGACUCACCUCUAACGCUUUAUUGACUCCCCCGGGAAAAUGGUCGCGCAAUAAAAUCUCAGGAGAUUUGAGGG